CGCGGGACUGCGCCGCGCAUUCCGCACAUUCCCGCCCGGCCUCGGUUCCGCCGCCACGUGGUUGCUCUGCGCGCCGCGCUUACCGUAAGGCUUGGAGAAGGCGCGCACGCCCGGCUCGCCAGCGCGUGCGGACCUCCCAGGGUGCGGGGCCCGAGGCGUGGUCCAGCCGCCCUGCCCGCGUGCGUGGAUUGGGGCUCUUGUUUUGUUUGGUUUUGUUUUUCACGUAAUAAGGAGAGUUGUGCUGCUGGAGUGAUGACGUAUUCAUUUGUAAAGGCGGGCAAGGAGAGUCUCAGGCCCCGUGGGUAUUUGUAAUCGGGUGACUGUCCGUCUGAGGAACAGGAGUGACCACUGUGUCUUCCCAGCGGUGACAGAGCCGGAAGAGGAACUGCAGCUUCUGAUCGUUUUCUUCUCCUUUUCCUUAUUAUUCAAAAGCAGUGGGCGGCACAGCCCAGUGCUCUGCACAACUGAUUAGUUCAAGAUAAAGAGUCUGGUUCAUCCCUGGAACCUGAGCAGCUGACCUUAACCAACAGGAUGCCCGGCUCUGCCUCUGGGGCCCACUGGAGCCCAUAGGACCCUGCAUGGAUGGAGGUCCCCCCGGCUGGAAAGGGUGAGACAUGCCUAUUUGCUCAGAAUUCAAACUACUGCAGGGUUUUGGAGAGCAAGCAUCCUCCCCUCAUGGACCAAUCCUCGUGCCUCACUUCUCCUGCAGUUUACCUUGCCCCCAAGCUCAUUGAUGCCAUGCAUUUAAUCUUCAAAGCAAACCCCAGAAACACACUUGACGUCAGGAGGUUUGCUCCCAUAUUUGUGAGAGUGCCAAGAGUGUCACCUACAGACCUGCAUCUGCUGGGAGCUGUCCGGUCUUGGGUAAAUCUUUGUCUUCGUCUGUAAAGUGGGGUAUGAUUUCACUCCAACCAAGGCCAUGGAGCAGAGUCAUUAAGGGACCCUGAGCCAUGACAACGGGGAAACGAGACUCCAGAGAUGACCACAGUACUCGCCUCCCGUUCACCUCCACACAACGACUUCAUGAAGAAGUUGAAAAAAACCUCUUUCUCUACCCGGCCAAUGAGAGAGGACUUAGCCUCCAAGGAUUCUUACUAAAUACGGCUAACCUGGUAGGAUGAAAAGGGCAGUCAGAGUACUUGCCAGACAGAAGCAGAUUAUGGCAGGCAUCGCCAGCGAGUGGGGGGGCAUUGUUUUCCUGCCGCUCCCCCCACACAGGGUCCCACCAGUUUGUUUCUUUUUUGUCUGGAUUAACAUGCCCAAUAAUGACGCUUUCAUAUUGUCUAGUGUUUUAUCUGUUUAUUUUUUUUAAAGAUUUAUUUAUUUAUUCAUGAGAGACACAGGGAGAGGUAGAGACAUAGGCAGAGGGAG
Canis lupus familiaris (dog) is the source of this 1371-nucleotide long non-coding RNA. RefSeq lists it as uncharacterized. NCBI's taxonomy places the organism in Eukaryota, Metazoa, Chordata, Mammalia, Carnivora, Canidae. The record is from RefSeq and is a predicted model, not a curated record. The transcript has 6 exons.